Molecule: long non-coding RNA, 1815 nt
Organism: Symphalangus syndactylus (siamang)
Lineage: Eukaryota; Metazoa; Chordata; Mammalia; Primates; Hylobatidae
Source: RefSeq, a predicted model, not a curated record
GGGUGGUGGCUCACGCCUGUAAUCCCAGCACUUUGGGAGGCCGAGGUGAAUGAAUCACCUGAGGUUAGGAGUUCAAGACCAGCCUGGCCAACAUGGUGAAACCCCCGCCUCUACUAAAAAUACAAAAAAAAAUUAGCCAGCAUGGUGGCACAUACCUGUAAUCCCAGCUACUCAGGAGGCUGAGGCAGGAGAAUUGCUUGAACCCAGGAGGCGGAGGUUACAGUGAGCCAAGAUCACACCUUUGCACUCCAGCCUGGGUGACAAGAGUGAAACACCUUCUCAAAAAAAAGCAAAAAAAAAAAAAAGAGAGAGAGAGAGAGAGAAAGGAAAAUGGCAGAGUUUCUGGAAAGAGAAAAAAAAAUUGCGAGUAGUGGGAAACAGGAGUGUUCAUUGAACCUGGGAUGUGAAUGUUGAAAUUAAGACACACACAUGCCCUCAGCGCUUGCCUCUACGCCCUCUGCAUCCAGGAUCCAGAAGAUGCAUAGUUAGUAGGUCCCUCUCCAAGGAAGCUGACCAACCAGGAAUAAAGAUUUUUUUUUUUCGAGACAGUCUUGCUCUGUCAUCCAGGCCAGAGUGCAGGGGCACCAUCUCGACUCACUGCAACCUCUGCCUCCUUUUAGUAGAGACAAGGUUUCUCCAUGUUGGCCACGCUGGUCUUGAACUCCUGACCUCAAGUGAUCCACCCACCUCAGGCUCCCAAAAUGCUGGAAUUAUACACAUAAGCCACCGCACCAGGCCAGGAAUAAAGAUUUAAAGAUACUGAUGCAGCUAGGCAUGGUACCUCAUGCCUGUAGUCCCAGCUACUCAAGAGGCUGAGGUGGGAGGACUGCUUCAGCCUAGGAGGUCAAGGCUGCAGUGAGGUAUGAUUGCACCACUGCACUCCAGCCUGGGGAACAGAGCAAGAUCCUAUCUUUAAAAAAUAAAUAAAAAGGCCGGGCGCGAAAGAAAUAUAGCAUAAAGGUUAAGAGCACUCUAGGCCAGGCAUGAUGGCUCACACCUGUAAUCCCUACACAUUGGGAGGCCGAGGCAGGCAGAUCCCUUGAGGCCAGGAGUUCAAGACCAGCCUGGCCAACAUGGUGAAACCCCGUCUCUACUAAAAAUACAAAAAUUAAUUGGCCGGGCGCGGUGGCUCACGCCUGUAAUCCCAGCACUUUGGGAGGCCGAGGCGGGUGGAUCACGAGGUCAGGAGAUCGAGACCAUCCUGGCUAACACGGUGAAACCCCGUCUCUACUAAAAAUACAAAAAAUUAGCCGGGCAAGGUGGCAGGCGCCUGUAGUCCCAGCUACAAGGGAGGCUGAGGCAGGAGAAUGGCGUGAACCCCGGGGGGCAGAGCCUGCAGUGAGCCGAGAUCGCGCCACUGCACUCCAGCCUGGGUGAAAGAGCGAGACUCUGUCUCAAAAAAAAAAAAUAAUAAAAAAUAAAAAAUAAAAAAAUAAUAAAAAUACAAAAAUUAGAUGGGAGUGGUGGUGGAAGCCUGUAAUCCCAGCUACUUGGGAGGCUGAGGCAGGAGAAUUGCUUGAACCUGGGAGGUGGAGGUUGCAGUGAGCCAAGAUCACGCCACUGCUCUCCAGCCUGGGCAACAGAGCAAGACUCUGUCUCAAAAAAAAAAUUUAAUAAAUUUUUAAAAGAUUUAAAGAUACGGAUGCCACUGGGCAUGGUGGCUCAUGCCUGUAGUCCCAGCUACUCAGGAGGCUGAGUUGGAAGACCACUUGAAACCAGAAGAUUGAGGCUGCAGUGAGCUAGGAUCGCACCACUGCACUCUAGCCUGGGUGACAGAGUGAGACGCUAUCUCAAAAAAAAAAAAAAAAAGGAAAA